This 253-nucleotide ribosomal RNA is filed under the name uncultured bacterium. Its description in RNAcentral is "partial 16S ribosomal RNA". It matches the Rfam family "Bacterial small subunit ribosomal RNA", at positions 524 to 776 of the family's 1533-position model. The record is from RNAcentral.
UACGAGUGGUCCAAGCGUUAGUCGGAAUCACUGGGCUUAAAGGGUGCGUAGGCGGGCUUGUAAGUGCCUUGUGAAAUCCCAUGGCUCAACCAUGGAACUGCAGGGCAUCCUGCGAGUCUUGAGGAAUCUAGAGGCCGGCAGAACGAUAGGUGGAGCGGUGGAAUGCGUAGAUAUCUAUCGGAAUGCCAAAGGUGAAGACAGCCGGCUGGGGAUUUCCUGACGCUGAGGCACGAAAGCGUGGGGAUCAAACAGG